CAAAUCCGGGUGUCGCCU
This 18-nucleotide transfer RNA is filed under the name Streptocarpus grandis. RNAcentral's name for it is "partial tRNA-Cys". The record is from RNAcentral. Lineage: Eukaryota; Viridiplantae; Streptophyta; Magnoliopsida; Lamiales; Gesneriaceae. RNAcentral also lists the same sequence under 4 other names.